AGUGAACGCUGGCGGUAGGCUUAACACAUGCCAGUCGAACGGCAGCACAGUAAGAGCUUGCUCUUACGGGUGGCGGGUGGCGGACGGGUGAGGAAUACAUCGGAAUCUACUUUUUCGUGGGGGAUAACGUAGGGAAACUUACGCUAAUACCGCAUACGACCUACGGGUGAAAGCAGGGGAUCUUCGGACCUUGCGCGAUUGAAUGAGCCGAUGUCGGAUUAGCUAGUUGGCGGGGUAAAGGCCCACCAAGGCGACGAUCCGUAGCUGGUCUGAGAGGAUGAUCUGCCACACUGGAACGGAGACACGGUCCAGACUCCUACGGGAGGCAGCAGUGGGGAAUAUUGGACAAUGGGCGCAAGCCUGAUCCAGCCAUACCGCGUGGGUGAAGAAGGCCUUCGGGUUGUAAAGCCCUUUUGUUGGGAAAGAAAAGCAGCAGGUUAAUACCCCGCUGUUCUGACGGUACCCAAAGAAUAAGCACCGGCUAACUUCGUG
RNAcentral lists this ribosomal RNA (492 nucleotides) under uncultured bacterium. RNAcentral's name for it is "partial 16S ribosomal RNA". It matches the Rfam family "Bacterial small subunit ribosomal RNA", at positions 29 to 507 of the family's 1533-position model. The record is from RNAcentral.